CGCAGCCGCGCCCCGGGCCGCCCCCGCGCAGAACCGGCAGCCGCCGACAGAGAAUCCGUUACUCCGCUGCAUCCCAACGCUCUCAGACCUGAGCGGGGCUGGGAUCGUCUCCGCUCCUUACAGGGGGAGGAAGCCGAGCGCUGCGCCCGCAGAGCCGCUCGCUUGGGCCGAUGGCUUUGAGAGGAGCGCUUCGGAGCUGCGCUAAAGGGACGUGACAAAGUGACACCGGGCACGCGGGGAUGGCAGCGUCCGUUCGCCUUUUGUUUCGGGACGGGUUCACUCUGUGCAGCAUUUCGUUACACGGGGACCUGCCUUUGCUCGGCCGUAAGCGCGGAGAUCCGCGCACAAGCGCGAUUCUUCUCUCGGAGAGGCGCAGGUCGCGCAGGCACGAGCGCAGGGCUCCGAUGUGCCCUUCUGCUCCCCGUUAUGACACUUCUUAGGUCCUCCCGACCCUUUAUCGUGGAGCCCCGUUCCCGUAACGCUGUUCCCGCAGAGCUGUGGUGUUAAGGAGGUCAGGAAGGGCCCCGAAUACAUCGGGGUUCGGUGUGAGGGUCCGGCUGCGUUCCUGUUCUGAUCACUGGAAAGAAUAAAACUUCUGCAGAGA
This is a non-coding RNA of Coturnix japonica (Japanese quail), 604 nucleotides long. Lineage: Eukaryota; Metazoa; Chordata; Aves; Galliformes; Phasianidae. The record is from RefSeq and is a predicted model, not a curated record.